RNAcentral lists this microRNA precursor (59 nucleotides) under Sphenodon punctatus (tuatara). Its description in RNAcentral is "Spt-Mir-101-P2_pre stem-loop". It matches the Rfam family "mir-101 microRNA precursor family", at positions 10 to 68 of the family's 75-position model. Rfam says of the family: The hairpin precursors (represented here) are predicted based on base pairing and cross-species conservation -- their extents are not known. In this case the mature sequence is excised from the 3' arm of the hairpin. The record is from RNAcentral. Lineage: Eukaryota; Metazoa; Chordata; Lepidosauria; Sphenodontia; Sphenodontidae.
UCGGUUAUCAUGGUACCGAUGCUGUAUACGUGAAAAGUACAGUACUGUGAUAACUGAAG